CACACACACACACACACACACACGUAUCCAGAGGUGUUCUGAAGACUAAGUUACACACUGCGAAUGUAAAUACUAGCUUUAACAAAGCAAUAAAUAUUGAAGUCCGUGUAUUGGUAGUAUUCACGCAUGUGAGCGUUGUUUGUCCUUGAUAUCUAUUAGAAUUAAAAAUCUAUUUUUGCAUAUGUCAGAUGGUUAACGAACAUCUUAUUUCAGAUUUUAUUUACACCGGCCUCUGGCAUCAGGAUAACAGAUAUGUGUUUUAAUAACACUUCAGUUCAUGGAGCUUCUCUAAUAAUUCUAAUAAUAUUAAAUUAAUAAAGAGAUGAUAAAGUGAAAUAAGUUUCCAUCAGGAUGGCAAUAAGUUUUCGCAGCAAGCGGAGGAGAAAGAUGAGGGCAGAGAAAAGAAAGAAAUCCGGUCUGGAUGAACCAAAGGCAUAUAAAGAAGGUGAAAGCCAAACGUAUGGCUACAAAAGGAAAACCUAAGAUAAAGAAGGGACUGGCCUGGUAGAUGAACUGAUCUGCUUGUGCACGGACAUUACGCCGGACAGCUCUACAGGAGCUUUGCUGUGCAUCAUUUACAUGUGCAUUUUGUACAUUUCUACAGACUGUUUAUGCAAAAAUGUAAAUCACCCGCAUUGUACUACACAACUGACUCUUCCAGUGAAAUACACAUAUUUCCUCUACUUC
Molecule: long non-coding RNA, 687 nt
Organism: Carassius auratus (goldfish)
Lineage: Eukaryota; Metazoa; Chordata; Actinopteri; Cypriniformes; Cyprinidae
Exons: 3
Source: RefSeq, a predicted model, not a curated record